Molecule: long non-coding RNA, 395 nt
Filed under: Crocodylus porosus (Australian saltwater crocodile)
Lineage: Eukaryota; Metazoa; Chordata; Crocodylia; Crocodylidae
Description: lncRNA (ENSCPRG00005013988.1)
Source: RNAcentral
GCUCUUUCAUUUUCCUGCACAAAAAUUUCUAUUGACGGGUUACUUUUGUAAGAGACUGUUUUAUUUCAGAAAGGGAAACAAGGGGAGAAAUCUGCAGAUACUGACUGGAAAGUCACUAAAACUACACACAGCAUCACUAUGUUUCAGGACUAUACCUACAGGCAGCUAUAACUCGCACAGGGAAGAGAGAAGCUUGAAAGAAGAAAUUAGAAACAAGUUUACACGGGUGUCCUCUAUGGCAUUAGAUCAAUAUCUAAGUGCCUUAGGACAUGAAGGUUACUUUUUUUGCAUAAAUCACACACAAAGAUGUGACACCCUGAAAACCAAAGGUAUGUUUAUUUAUAUUUUUUCUUUUAAAAAGCAGCAUGUACAAAAACAAUACUCUACCAGAGAGC